CCUACGGGAGGCAGCAGUGGGGGAUAUUGCGCAAUGGGGGAAACCCUGACGCAGCAACGCCGCGUGAAGGAAGAAGGUCUUCGGAUUGUAAACUUUUGUCUUUUGGGAAGAAUUAAGACGGUACCAAAGGAGGAAGCCACGGCUAACUACGUGCCAGCAGCCGCGGUAAU
Molecule: ribosomal RNA, 170 nt
Filed under: uncultured Clostridium sp.
Lineage: Bacteria; Bacillati; Bacillota; Clostridia; Eubacteriales; Clostridiaceae
Description: partial 16S ribosomal RNA
Rfam family: Bacterial small subunit ribosomal RNA
Source: RNAcentral